GGCGAGGAACUGAGCUCAGACUGGCAUCGUACAGGGCUUGCUCGGUGACAAGCUCCUUCUGCUUCAGCACCAAGAUGUCCUUCAGAUGGUGGAAGUCUUCUCGGUCCCCGACCUCCACCCGACUGUUCUCAUUUGGUUGGGUUCGGGGGUCCCCCCAGUGGGAAGGGAACCCCCAGGGAACGAGAGAAGAGAUGAAGAAGAACUGGUUCUUCCAUCCAUGAAUCGAUGAUGGAAGACCCGUGAUAAAGGAGAGACCCUUCCGAGGGUUGAAAUACCACCACCCUCGAGCUUUAAGGUCGGGUCGGAGAACAAA
Molecule: long non-coding RNA, 313 nt
Filed under: Elaeis guineensis (African oil palm)
Lineage: Eukaryota; Viridiplantae; Streptophyta; Magnoliopsida; Arecales; Arecaceae
Description: long non-coding RNA (EGUI_LNC074537)
Source: RNAcentral